This 974-nucleotide ribosomal RNA is filed under the name Salmonella enterica subsp. enterica serovar Vitkin. RNAcentral's name for it is "partial 23S ribosomal RNA". It matches the Rfam family "Bacterial large subunit ribosomal RNA", at positions 1969 to 2925 of the family's 2925-position model. Lineage: Bacteria; Pseudomonadati; Pseudomonadota; Gammaproteobacteria; Enterobacterales; Enterobacteriaceae. The record is from RNAcentral.
UUGUCGGGUAAGUUCCGACCUGCACGAAUGGCGUAAUGAUGGCCAGGCUGUCUCCACCCGAGACUCAGUGAAAUUGAACUCGCUGUGAAGAUGCAGUGUACCCGCGGCAAGACGGAAAGACCCCGUGAACCUUUACUAUAGCUUGACACUGAACAUUGAGCCUUGAUGUGUAGGAUAGGUGGGAGGCUUUGAAGUGUGGACGCCAGUCUGCAUGGAGCCGACCUUGAAAUACCACCCUUUAAUGUUUGAUGUUCUAACGUGGACCCGUAAUCCGGGUUGCGGACAGUGUCUGGUGGGUAGUUUGACUGGGGCGGUCUCCUCCUAAAGAGUAACGGAGGAGCACGAAGGUUGGCUAAUCCUGGUCGGACAUCAGGAGGUUAGUGCAAUGGCAUAAGCCAGCUUGACUGCGAGCGUGACGGCGCGAGCAGGUGCGAAAGCAGGUCAUAGUGAUCCGGUGGUUCUGAAUGGAAGGGCCAUCGCUCAACGGAUAAAAGGUACUCCGGGGAUAACAGGCUGAUACCGCCCAAGAGUUCAUAUCGACGGCGGUGUUUGGCACCUCGAUGUCGGCUCAUCACAUCCUGGGGCUGAAGUAGGUCCCAAGGGUAUGGCUGUUCGCCAUUUAAAGUGGUACGCGAGCUGGGUUUAGAACGUCGUGAGACAGUUCGGUCCCUAUCUGCCGUGGGCGCUGGAGAACUGAGGGGGGCUGCUCCUAGUACGAGAGGACCGGAGUGGACGCAUCACUGGUGUUCGGGUUGUCAUGCCAAUGGCACUGCCCGGUAGCUAAAUGCGGAAGAGAUAAGUGCUGAAAGCAUCUAAGCACGAAACUUGCCCCGAGAUGAGUUCUCCCUGAGACUUUAGGUCUCCUGAAGGAACGUUGAAGACGACGACGUUGAUAGGCCGGGUGUGUAAGCGCAGCGAUGCGUUGAGCUAACCGGUACUAAUGAACCGUGAGGCUUAACCUUACAACGCCGAAG